Empidonax traillii (willow flycatcher) is the source of this 291-nucleotide long non-coding RNA. RefSeq lists it as uncharacterized. The transcript has 3 exons. Lineage: Eukaryota; Metazoa; Chordata; Aves; Passeriformes; Tyrannidae. The record is from RefSeq and is a predicted model, not a curated record.
UUCCCUCUGUGCCCUGCUGCUCUCUGCAGGUGGAAAGCGAGAAGAAAAGGGUGGUGGAGUUCAUGUGCCAGAUCCUGCCGUACGUGGAGAGCCCCCAGGAGCGCCUGAAAGAGAUGGCCCUCAGGUUCAUUGGGAUCGCCACCAAGUACCUGAGAAAGGGGGAGGAGGAGGAUGAGUCCAUCACAGAGGUCAUCAUUGAGGCCCUUCAAAGCAUUACUGCUGACAGCCCUGCCAUCAAAAAGCGGGCAGAUGAAACCAUGAAAAUCAUCAAGGAUUUCCAGAAAUCAAAAC